RNAcentral lists this small RNA (1230 nucleotides) under Histoplasma ohiense. RNAcentral's name for it is "hypothetical lncRNA". Lineage: Eukaryota; Fungi; Ascomycota; Eurotiomycetes; Onygenales; Ajellomycetaceae. The record is from RNAcentral.
CUGCCAAGAACCAUCCUGCAUUCUCAUUGCUGGCCUUGUUUAAAGGACUCUUUUUAUUCUUUUUUUUUCUUUUCUUUUUUCAUUUCUAACUAUUUCCGGCACACAUUGUAGCCACAGCCCAACAUCUUGGCCUUGCACAUCGCAUUUCUUGCCGUGAGGCUGUACGUGGCACCUGUAGGAAGCACGCCUCUGAGCUGUCAAUUCUGGACCCUGGGACUUCUUUAACUCGAGUGUUUCCGCUUGUUUGUGAUUCUGCUUUUGACUUUCUUUCUUUCUCUUCUCCAGUUUAUAAUUGAUCUUUUUUCCCCCGUUAUUCAUUCACCGCCUGUCCUGAAUGGGUUCGUGGCAAGUCCAAGUUCGAGGAAUCUGGACCCAGGGCAUCGAAUCACUCGCCUCAAUGCCCGACGGUUAGUUAGAGAUUUAAAACAAGGAUCAGAUAUUAAAUCUAAAAAGAGAAAAUUUGGCUUUAAAAAUAUCAAGAUGUCCUGUGUGACUGGAUUUCAAGGAUUAUACACAAGCCUCGAUAUCCCCGUGAGAAAAAAACUGACAGGGUCAGCAAAGCGAGAAGAGGACAAGGACAUACUCAAAUGAUGAUGGGCAGAAGAGGCGACAAAAGCCAGGCGGAGGAGGGAACGAGGCGGUGGUGCAAACGCGAUAUUUCCAUCUGCUCUGCCACGUUCUUGACAACGACGGCUACUUGUUGGAACGAUUUCAAUAUUUCGUCAGACGCUUCAUUGUGCUCCUGGUGCCAUUUCGCCAUUUGAUCUCGCCUUGUCGAGGCGUCCAAUCGCAGAUCUCCCAUGCUGCGAGUUCUCUUUGGUGAUAAUAUACCCUUGUUAUGAUAGUUUCUGGCCCCAUUUUGGCAUUUGGUUCUAGCCUCACUGUUGUGAAUUCGCGGGCAUUUUCGAAUCAGGCUGAAGGCUUAUUCAAAUGCAUCUACACCUAUCUUUGAUUUUCUGUUCGUUUUGAGAUGCUAUACAAGCGGGCCCACUUGCUUCGUGGACUUCCUCUGCAGUGACGAUUUCGGUUGAUUGUCUCUGUAGGCCGAUACGAAGGUGGUGGAAUGAAAUAAUAGUUUUCCUUGAAACAUAUUUUUUGUUGCUUUGAAUACAUUUGCCAUUCUUACCCUGAAUGGGGUUUCGACUGGAUAAUUGGAAGUAAAAUGACCUUCUCUUUGAGAUCAUUUUUUACUUUUAUUUUAAGUCGUGAUUCUGAACGAUGACAACGGGC